GAGUUUUCAUUACAUAUAUAGCUUAGAUUCUUCUCUGCACUCUUCCUUUCUCGUCAGAGGAAAAAGAAACUACUUUUUUUUUUUUACAUAAAACUUUUGGUUUCUUCUGCCCAAUAAUUCUAACGUUGUCCUUCUUCUACUUCGAUUCCUACUUCUUUUUGUUUCUGUCGAAAAAGAAUCUGUGAAGAUGACAGUGGAACAAGAUAUUGAUGCUAUGGACCAGUUUCCACUAGGGAUGAGAGUUCUUGCCGUUGACGAUGACCAAACUUGUCUCCGUAUUCUCGAGACUUUGCUUCACCGCUGCCAAUACCACGUAACAACAACGGAUAAGGCACAGACCGCACUGGAGUUGUUGAGGGAGAACAAGAACAAGUUUGAUCUCGUGAUCAGCGAUGUUGACAUGCCAGACAUGGAUGGUUUCAAGCUGGUUGAGCUUGUUGGUCUUGAAAUGGACUUACCUGUCAUAAUGUUAUCUGCGCAUAGCGAUCCAAAAUAUGUGAUGAAAGGAGUCAAGCACGGUGCCUGCGACUAUCUCGUUAAACCGGUUCGAAUCGAGGAGCUCAAGAACAUAUGGCAACACGUGGUGAGGAAAAGCAAGUUCAAGAAGAUGAAGAGCGUUGUGACUACUAGUGGUGAAUCUGAGGGAAACUCUGAUCAAAACGGGGUGAGAGCAAACAGAAAGCGUAAAGAUCAGCUUGAAGAGGAAGAUGAAGAACAAGACGAACAAGAAAGAGGGAAUGAAAAGAAGGCUCGUGUUAUUUGGACGCGAGAGCUGCACAACAAGUUCCUAGCAGCUGUUGAUCAUGUGGGCGUUAAGAACGCUGUACCAAAGAAGAUUCUUGAGCUGAUGAAUGUUGACAAUCUCACAAGAGAGAAUGUUGGAAGCCACCUUCAGAAAUUCCGGUUAGCCUUGAAGAAAAUAAACAAUGAAGCCAAUCAACAAGCUAACAUGGACUCACAUUUCAAGCAAAUGAGUUCUCUCAAAGGACUUGGCAGCUUCCACCACUACCGUCCAAUACCUCUUGGAUCCAGUCAGUUCCAUGGUGGAGCCGCAACCAUGAGGCAUUACCCUUCAAAUAGGACCUUGGCAGGAAUGUUCUCAUCAUCGCUUCCUUGUAACCACAAUGAUGGAGGUUACAUGCUUCAGGGAAUGCCACUUCCUCCACUAGAAACUCUUCAUAUAGCCAAUAACAACAACAACAACAAGGCUUUUCCGAGCUUUACUUCACAACAAAGCUCUCCGCUAGUUUCUCCCAAUAAUCACUUUGUUCCUGAGGGUCACCAGGGGUUUUCUCCUCGCUUGGAGAUCAACAAACGUCUUGAAGACUGGUCAAGCGCUGUGUUGUCAAACAACAUUCCACAGAGUAAUCUUCAUUCAAAACCAGAUGCCUUGGAAUGGAACAUGUUCGGCAACUCAACCAGCCCAAACCUGGAUACAACAAAUCAGACGUCAUUCUGCAGAGACACAGAUUUUGGAUCCCCAAAUGCUGCCCAAGCAGACUCUUUUGAUCCAUUACAGAUGAAGCAGCAGCAUGAAAACAUCUUAAGUCCUAUGACAGUUGCUCAACUGUUGAGAAGUAGCAGUGGUAAUGAACGGUUAUUCAUGGGACAACAGAAGCUAGAGAACGGCUUCAUGGCUUCAGAUACCGGUUCCUUGGAUGAUAUAGUCAAUUCCAUGAUGACUCAGGAACAGAGCCAAGCCGAGUUCUCGGAAGGAGAUUGGGUUUGGGUGGCAUAAUAGCUCAGCAUGAGAGUGUUUUAUUCAGACACAAGUCUUUGGUUCUGUCUUUUUAUUUUUGCUCUGUUCUUUCUUUGUGAAGGAAAGGUUCCAACAGAAGCCUCCUUUCUUGUUUCCUUGAUUAGGACCAUAAGAACAACACUGGCAUAUUACUGCAUGACUUCAUCUUGAGCCUACGUUAUCACAUCAUGACUUUUCGUUUUCUAUUAUCUGCAACAUUUCCAAGCACUUAUGAACAAAUGCAGAGAUUGUAACUCAUAUAAUUAGUUAAGGAAGCACUGAAACUUUUUUUUUUUUAAUAACCCAGUAUCCGACCACUAAGCGUGAUCGACUAGCCCACCGGGCUUAUGCCCAUGCCAUUACAGGAAUUUUUAAGCCUCCACUUAAGGGCCCCUGGUUACGCGAAGUGGUCUGGGAGGCGAGAGAAGCCCAUGUAAAUUCUCUCGUGGCCAACGCGGAUCGAACCCAAGGCGGACACUCCAGCCGGAGUUCCUUUACCACUAGGCCAACACGCGUUGGUUUAGCACUGAAACUUUUUUUACCUAGAAUGUGGAUUUUCAGUUUUAACACCAACCCCCAUGCAAUAAGCCAGAUUUUGUGAUCUCUUCUUCGUUUGCUUCCUGGGUACUUCCACAUUAUCUUCAAUGUCAUCAUCAUCAACUGCUUCAGAGGCCU
Molecule: RNA transcript, 2413 nt
Organism: Raphanus sativus (radish)
Lineage: Eukaryota; Viridiplantae; Streptophyta; Magnoliopsida; Brassicales; Brassicaceae
Gene name: two-component response regulator ARR10-like
Exons: 7
Source: RefSeq, a predicted model, not a curated record